UGUACCCCACCAGUCUAGGGGUGGAGGGGUAUGUCUUGUCUAUGUGUACCCCACCAGUCUAGGGGUGGAGGGGUAUGUCUUGUCUAUGUGUACCCCACCAGUCUAGGGGUGGAGGGGUAUGUCUUGUCUAUAUGUACCCCACCAGUCUAGAGGGGUAUGUCUUGUCUAUAUGUACCCCACCAGUCUAGGGGGGUAUGUCUUGUCUAUAUGUACCCCACCAGUCUAGGGGUGGAUGUCUUGUCUAUAUGUACCCCACCAGUCUAGAGGGGUAUGUCUUGUCUAUAUGUACCCCACCAGUCUAGGGGUGGAGGGGUAUGUCUUGUCUAUGUGUACCCCACCAGUCUAGGGGUGGAGGGGUAUGUCUUGUCUAUAUGUACCCCACCAG
Long non-coding RNA from Oncorhynchus tshawytscha (Chinook salmon), 385 nucleotides. NCBI's taxonomy places the organism in Eukaryota, Metazoa, Chordata, Actinopteri, Salmoniformes, Salmonidae. The record is from Ensembl.